RNAcentral lists this long non-coding RNA (6372 nucleotides) under Homo sapiens (human). Its description in RNAcentral is "non-protein coding lnc-LY86-4:8". Lineage: Eukaryota; Metazoa; Chordata; Mammalia; Primates; Hominidae. The record is from RNAcentral.
CUCCCGGGCCUCCGGAUCCUGGCUGGGAGCCAUCUCUGCCUCCUGCCGCUUCCUGCACUCCUGAUCAGGUCAGUGGCCAGUCACAGACCUCUGAAAUGUCCUUCCUGACUGUUAGCUCCACAGCAUUCCUACAGCUCCCGCCGCAGUUCCGCCCUCCGGAGGGUUCCAACAGCAGCCCAGUGCGCCUCCCCAGCCCCAGGCUCCCUCCACUCCAGUGAGCCUGCACCUGGCGCUCCCUGGCACACAUAUUUUCCAUUGCUCUUCACUGCCAAUUAAAUGCAAAUUUCUCAUCGUGGGGUUCCAAGUUCUCUGUAUUUGGUCCUCUUAUCCUGACAGCUCUACCCUCCCCAGAGCACUACAAUCUGGCCAAGAGCCUCACCAGCCUAUUCCCCCGAACCAUUGUUUUAUUUAUUUUAGAUUCAGGGGUAUUUGUAUGCAGGUUUGUUACAUAAGUAUAUUGCGUUAUGAUAAGGUUUGUGCUUCUGAUGAUGAUCCAGUCGCCCAACAUAGUACCGGAUAGUUAGGUUUUCUUCCAUUGCCCCCCUCUCCCUCCUUCCUUUUGGGGUCCCUGGUGUCUGUUAUUCCCAUGUUUAUGUCCUUAUGUACCCAGUGUUUAGAUCCCACUUAUAAGUGAGAGCAUGUGGCAUUUGGUUUUCUGUUUCUGCAUUAGUUUGCUUAGAAUAACGACUGCCAGCUGCAUCCAUGUUGCUGCAAAGGACAUGAUUUCCUUGUUUUUUAUGACUGCACAGUAUUCCAUGGCCAAAAAAAUGUGGUAUAAAAAUAUGUACCACAUUUUUUUAAUCCAGUCCACAGUCGAUGGGCACCUGGGUUGAUCACAUGUCUUCACUAUUGUGAACAGUGCUGCAAUGAACAUACGUGUGCAGGUGUCUUUUUGGUAGGACUAUUUAUAUUCCUUUGGGUAUAUACCUAGUAAUGGGAUUGCUUGGUCUAAUAUUCAUUCUAUUUUAGAUCUUUAAGAAAUCUGCAAACUGCUUUCCACAGGGGCUGCAUUAAUUUGCAUUCUCACCAAAGUGUGUAAGUAUUCCCUUUCUCCUCAACCUCUCCAGCAUCUGUUAUUUUUUGACUUUUUCAUAAUAGCCAUUCUGACUGGUGUGAAAUAGUACUUUAUUGAAACCACUGCUUUAGAAAGUGAAAGUCCUUUUCAGGUUUGUUUUUCAUUCACUGGCAGAGGUUGCUGGCCCAGCAGGGGUUGUGCAAACUCUGUCUUUGUUCCCCUGUAUUUGCCUUCCUCUCCCUUUUUCCUUCCUUUCCCUUUCUCAAUACACACACACACACACACACAACAUGUACAGAAGGGCUCUUAUCUGAAAUAAUCAAUAAAUAUCAAGGACGUGAAGAUGUCAUGCAAGGAGCAAAGGGGGAAAGUAAACAUAAGGAAAAUGUACAAAACCUAAUUUUUCACCAUGUAACCAGCAUGGGCUUUAAAGUCUACACAAGACAGACUACCACAAGCCUCUGCCCCUGCAGAAACUGGAUAAAUCCUGGAGAAUGACUAUAAUCUCCAUGACACAAAUUCUUCCUCAGAAGGAAGGAUCAAGGCUUCUGAAUAAAAGGGCUAGGAAAAGAAAUUUUCCUGAGGCUGCCAAAGGCAAGUAGGAUUCUUUUUCAAGGUCAACAGGCAUUAGAAACAGAAGACAUACACAGUAUGCCAGAAAAUUACAAGAUUUCCCUCUCCUUGACACCAAAGAGUUAAAUAUAGAAAUGUGCAUGUGGACAGUUAUUAGGAGAAAGGAGAAAGGGAAGAGAAGGUGGCCCAUUUCCUCCCUUGGCCAAAAAGAAAACAAACAACUUAAAUAAAACAAUAAGAUGCUAUCAUCAUGAAACACUGUGCAUGUGUUGGCCAGUAGGCUAUUAAUACACAGCACAGCCUGGAGCUUUGCUGAACAUGGAAAUGCUUCCAGCCUUUUUGCAACACUGCCUGUAUGAACACUGCUAAAAAUAUUGGUGGGAUAUAUAUGUGUGCUUGUGUGUGCAUGUGUGCUUGUGCAUGCAUGUGUGUGCAUGCAUGAGGAUGUAUGUGUUGCAUGUGUUUGUGAGCACGUCUCAGUAGAUCCCAACACAGACUGCUUUGAGGAGAAUUCAUUUUCAUUCCAUCCAGAGUUGCUCACAAGUCUGAUUAGCUGGGAUAGUAAAAGAGAAAGGAGCAGACAGAAAUCUAUCCCCCUUUUCUCUUUAUCUUUGAGACUCUUGGAGAAGCACAUGCCUUCACUCUCACCCCACAGAACAACACACCCUUCAGAACCCACUCCCACAACCACACCCACUCCAUUCUACACAGGCACAUCCAACUGUCCUCCUGUCUGUCUUCACCAUGGUGACCAGAGCCUCCACCCUCUACUUCCCUAAAGCAAAAAUUGGCAAAGAACCCAAGGAAAUGAAUGUCUUUCCAGUGAACCAAAGUUUUGUUAUGCACUGUUUGGAUAACAGUGUCCUAACAGAAUACCUGGAAGUUACAGAAUAUACUCAUUAAACCUAGCUGCCGGUUAGUAAGCCCUUGAAAUGCCUCAGGGCUCCCAUCAAAGAGUUUCUGGAGACAGAGGGCUAGGCCAGUAUCUAGGUCCUGUUUGAGAAUAAGAUUUCAUUUCAGAGACCACUUGCUACACUGUAUUGAGAAUGUUUCAGGGGCUGAAUCAGUCCCUCUGGGGGAAAAAUGAUCUCUGAAUGUGUGUCCUGGGUGUGGAAAGGGGAGUGGCUCAGAUUGGACAUCUUCAAUGUAGAGUGUACUCAUGCAUUGUCUCAGGAAUCCUCAUGGCUUCCGUACAGCAAGAAUCAAUCCACAUUUCACCCUUUCAUAAGGACUCCAGUCAUACUGGAGUGGGAUCCACCCUAAUGACCUCAUCUCCAUGUGGUUAAAACUCUUUUUCCAAAUAAGGCCACAUUCUGAGGUUUGGGGGUUUGGACUGCAACAGAUCUUUUGGAGAUCUUUUUGGAAGGGGCACAAUUCAACCCACAAAAGUAGUCCUUACCCAAAGGGACCUAUGGAUGUUUACUCAGGUGGCUAAUCACUGAGGAAAGGGGAAGUCUCAGACAGUCCAAGGACUACUGGACACAGGUCUGAGUUGACAUGGACACUUGGGUACCCACAGUGUCAUCACAGUCCCCUGUUAGAGUGGGGCCCCCCACGGACAGAGACUAAGUGGAGCCCUAGCUAAUGUCCAGCUCCUAAUGGUCCUGCGGAGUCCACUAACAUGCUGUGGGCAUUGCCCUGUUUCCUGAGUGCACAGAUGGAACUGAUCUACUUGAUAGUUGGAUUAGCCUUAACAUUGGGUCUCUGGCCCAUGGGCUAUGACCUGUCAUAGUGGAGGGCACCAAAUGGAAACUCUGAAAAUACCACUGUCAGCUGAGGUUGUCAAUCAAAAAUAAUAUUGCAUUCUGAAGUGGAUGGCAGAAAUUUGUAUCACCAUUAAAAUCCUCAAGGGUACAAGGCAGUGCUAUUAACCAUAUCUCUGUUUAAUUCACCAGCUUAGCCCCUGCAGAAACUGGAUAAACCCUGGAGAAUGACUGUAGUCUACACCAGGAUUAAACAAAUAGUAACCCUGAUUGCAGGUGCUGUACUAGACAUAGUAUCUUUGGUAGAACCAAUUAGUGAGGCUUUCGGUACAACCAUUGACAUGGGAGAUGCAUUCUUUUCCAUUCCAAUCAAGAAAGAGGAUCAGAAAUGGUUUGUAUUUAGGUAGGAUAGAAAACAAUAUUAAACUGAAGUUUUGCCUCAGGGCUAAAUGAACUCUACUGCCUUCUGUCCUAAAAUAGCUUGAGGAUAUGUGGACCACCUGAAUGUCCCACAGAACAUCAUGACACCUUGGUGAUGGGGCAGAACCAACAAUAGAUGGCUAUCUCACUAGAGGUCUUGGUAAGAUACAUGCACUAGAGAGGAUGGGAAAUAAACCCUAUAAAGAUUGAGAGAUAUACAUGUCAAUAAAGUCCUUACGGAUCCAAUGCUCAGGGUCAUUCCUGAAUAUCUCCUCUAAAUUCAAAUAAAACCACUGCAUCUUGCAUUCCCUACCACAAAGAAGGAAGCACAGUGCAUGGUGUGCCUCAUUUGCUUCUGAUGGCAACACAUUUCAUACCUAGGAAUGCUGCUUCAGCCCCUAUACUGGAUGACACAAAAGGGUGCUAACUUUGAGUGGAGCCUAAACUAGGAAAGAGCUCUGCAACAGGUCCGAACUGGAGUGCAAGCACACCUGCCACUGGAGCCGUGUUAUCUCACGGACCUCAUGAGGUUGUAGGUGUCAGCAGUGGGACAAGAUGCAUCAUAGGGUGGAAAUUGUAUAUCUAAGAUCAAACCUAGGCAGGACUGGAGGAUACGCAUGAGUAAUCCACAUAAGCUGGUAGCCCAGACCCCCAUGUCACCCACCGCGGCUAUACCAGCGCUCCUGCCUCAGCUCAUAUUUAUGGCCAUAUUGGAGUGCUGACACACUGAUCUGGGGUUACUCACUCACAUCAGGCACUGGAUGAGUACAGUGUCCUGGGCUAAAGUUGAUCUAUCCCAGACCCUCACCUUCAGCAGCAUCAGUGGCCCUCACAGCAGCUCUCCCUCCUCUGUAUUCCUACUUAGUGGCAGCUGUGGCCUGCAGCACCCAGAAACAGUGAGGUAGAGGGAAUGGCAAGCAUCCAUUACCCUGUGCUCCAUCAAUGGCACUGUCACCCCCUCUGUAGGCUCUGUGCCAUGUGUCAGGUAGUACCCAGGGCUUGUGAGACAUCACUCCAAGUUUCCAACCAGGUAUGCUCUUGAUUCCAGUGGAUGUGAUGACGUUGUGCUCUCUCAGGGCUUAGGCUAUGCCAGAGGAGGGAUGAACAUUCCUUGCUGAAUGAGAUCCCUCUAGCUGUUCCACCCAGGGCCUCUGGCCUGUCCUUUCCUUUGGUGAUGGAGUGUAGAAGGCAGGCGUGGAGUUAACACAGAAAGAUUUAACUUUCUGUGUUAGGCAGGCAUGGAGUUAACCCUCUGAAAACACAGGAUGCCAGUCUAAAGAGUGAAGAGAAAAUGUGGUUGGAAGAUGUGUUCUUCUACCUUUACAUCAUAAAUUUCAGAACAGUGCAUUUCAUGACCAGAAGAUGAAUUACUGUUCACAUUUUUCUGCAUGCUCUGGAUAAGAUUUGCAAUUGUGAUCAUUGCCAAUGGAAGCACAGUAACAGCUUUCAGAGGGUCAGUGGAAGCCAGUAUGGAAGAUAUACGCUGGACAAGGCAGCCUCUUGAGUGAUGAUGUAACUACCAUUAAACACAUGGUAUCAGGGAACUACAGAGGUAUGAUCUGUGUUGCUUCAAUACAAAAAAGUGAAGAAGAGCCACGGCACUGCCAGUAAUAAUGACGUUCCAUGAGAGAUAUACAAGUAGCCAGAACUUUUGCCACUAAGAAGAAACUUCACACUGAAAGGACAAUAGAUAAAUAUGUAAAUGCAUCUUGUCUACCUAUCACUCUAAAUCAAUUGAUCAGUGUAUACAUCACCAUGCCUCAUGAAUUUUGUCAUAAAUUUUUAAUCAAAUUGUUUAUGCAGAGGAUUCACGAAAAUGAGAGAGAUAAUCUGCCCUGGAUUAAUCAAUGACAUUUACCAAGCUCUAAUAAGAACAAGAAUUGUGCUAGAUACCAUGGAUACAAUAAAGAACAAUGCACAAAUGGACUAAAUGUAACUCACUGUCUAAACUGGUAGCAAUGCAUAUAGACAGACGCAGGGUGUCCUGAGCAGGGACAUAGGAAGGGGUGAUGGAAUGAACACCCAGCGAUGGUUCCGUACUGAUGUUCCCAGUUGAAGUCAUCAAAAAGGUGACCACUCCACAGGAACUCCAUUUGAGGGCCUUGUUCAAUGGGACUUUUCAGCCAUCCUCCCAAUCCAAGUAUUUUCUUCACCUAUUAAACUUGUCUUUGAUUAGCUCUCCAUUGGUCAGAGAUUCUGUGAGAUACCUAUGAAAAGAUGGAAGUGACACUUACAUAUGCCUAUCCCAACAGCCUAGCUGGAAAUCACCAAAAUGAGGCAAGAGAACAGGGUUUUUAGUGAACCUUUUUCCUGUGUGCCUGUUCUAGUUGAAGAAUCUGGGUUUAAUAGACCUAGAAUUCUUUAUAAAAGAAUUCUUGCCAGGCCAGGCGUGGUGGCUUACGCCUGUAAUCCCAGCACUUCAGGAGGCCAAGGCAGGUGUAUCAUGAGGUCAAGAGUUUGAGACUAGCCUGACCAACAUGAUGAAACCCCGUCUCUGCUAAAAAUACAAAAAUUAGCUGGACGUGGAGGCACAUGCUUGUAAUCCCAGCUACUCAGGAGGCUGAGGCAGGAGAAUCAUUUGAACCUGGGAGGCGGAGGUUGCAGUGGGCCGAGAUCGCACCAUUGCACUCCAGCCUGGGCGACAGAGUGAGACUUUGUCUG